GGGGGGAUGGCGCAGUUGGAGUGCAUUGCGCCUGAACCGGCAGGUAGUCGGUUCGAAUCCGGCUCCCUCCA
RNAcentral lists this transfer RNA (71 nucleotides) under Thermochaetoides thermophila DSM 1495. Its description in RNAcentral is "tRNA-Ser (TGA) (tRNA-Ser-TGA-3-1)". It matches the Rfam family "tRNA". Rfam says of the family: Transfer RNA (tRNA) molecules are approximately 80 nucleotides in length. Lineage: Eukaryota; Fungi; Ascomycota; Sordariomycetes; Sordariales; Chaetomiaceae. The record is from RNAcentral.